UACGGAGGGAGCUAGCGUUAUUCGGAAUUACUGGGCGUAAAGCGCACGUAGGCGGCUUUGUAAGUUAGAGGUGAAAGCCUGGAGCUCAACUCCAGAAUUGCCUUUAAGACUGCAUCGCUCGAAUCCGGGAGAGGUGAGUGGAAUUCCGAGUGUAGAGGUGAAAUUCGUAGAUAUUCGGAAGAACACCAGUGGCGAAGGCGGCUCACUGGACCGGCAUUGACGCUGAGGUGCGAAAGCGUGGGGAGCAAACAGG
RNAcentral lists this ribosomal RNA (253 nucleotides) under uncultured bacterium. RNAcentral describes it as "partial 16S ribosomal RNA". It matches the Rfam family "Bacterial small subunit ribosomal RNA", at positions 524 to 776 of the family's 1533-position model. The record is from RNAcentral.